This 289-nucleotide ribosomal RNA is filed under the name Aeromonas sp. SrichE-2G. Its description in RNAcentral is "partial 16S ribosomal RNA". It matches the Rfam family "Bacterial small subunit ribosomal RNA", at positions 1208 to 1496 of the family's 1533-position model. The record is from RNAcentral. Lineage: Bacteria; Pseudomonadati; Pseudomonadota; Gammaproteobacteria; Aeromonadales; Aeromonadaceae.
CCAGGGCUACACACGUGCUACAAUGGCGCGUACAAAGGGCUGCAAGCUAGCGAUAGUGAGCGAAUCCCAGAAAGCGCGUCGUAGUCCGGAUUGGAGUCUGCAACUCGACUCCAUGAAGUCGGAAUCGCUAGUAAUCGCAAAUCAGAAUGUUGCGGUGAAUACGUUCCCGGGCCUUGUACACACCGCCCGUCACACCAUGGGAGUGGGUUGCACCAGAAGUAGAUAGCUUAACCUUCGGGAGGGCGUUUACCACGGUGUGAUUCAUGACUGGGGUGAAGUCGUAACAAGG